UUCGAAGCAACGCGAAGAACCUUACCAGGCCUUGACAUGCAGAGAACUUUCCAGAGAUGGAUUGGUGGCCUUCGGGAACGUCUGACACAGGUGCUGCAUGGCUGUCGUCAGCUCGUGUCGUGAGAUGUUGGGUUAAGUCCGUAACGAGCGCAACCCUUGUUCUUAGUUACCAGCACGUUAUGGUGGGCACUCUAAGGAGACUGCCGGUGACAAACCGGAGGAAGGUGGGGGAUGACGUCAAGUCAUCAUGGCCCUUACGGCCUGGGCUACACACGUGCUACAAUGGUCGGUACAAAGGGUUGCCAAGCCGCGAGGUGGAGCUAAUCCCAUAAAACCGAUCGUAGUCCGGAUCGCAGUCUGCAACUCGACUGCGUGAAGUCGGAAUCGCUAGUAAUCGUGAAUCAGAAUGUCACGGUGAAUACGUUCCCGGGCCUU
Molecule: ribosomal RNA, 435 nt
Filed under: uncultured Pseudomonas sp.
Lineage: Bacteria; Pseudomonadati; Pseudomonadota; Gammaproteobacteria; Pseudomonadales; Pseudomonadaceae
Description: bacterial SSU rRNA
Rfam family: Bacterial small subunit ribosomal RNA
Source: RNAcentral